RNAcentral lists this ribosomal RNA (324 nucleotides) under uncultured eukaryote. Its description in RNAcentral is "partial 18S ribosomal RNA". It matches the Rfam family "Eukaryotic small subunit ribosomal RNA", at positions 1470 to 1796 of the family's 1831-position model. The record is from RNAcentral.
CCCUUAGAUGUUCUGGGCUGCACGCGCGCUACACUGAUGCGAUCAACAAGUUUUUCCUAUGUCGAUAGACACGGGUAAUCUUUUGAACUCGCAUCGUGAUGGGGAUAGAUUAUUGUAAUUAUUAAUCUUCAACGAGGAAUUCCUAGUAGGUGCAAAUCAUCAGUUUGCAUCGAUUACGCCCCUGCCCUUUGUACACACCGCCCGUCGCUGCUACCGAUUGGUUGAUCUGGUGAAUUAUUCGGACUGCCGGCUGAAGGGGUUUCCUCAUCUGCCAGCGGAAAGUCUUGUUAACCCUAUCAACUAGAGGAAGCAGAAGUCGUAACA